Molecule: ribosomal RNA, 253 nt
Filed under: uncultured bacterium
Lineage: Bacteria
Description: partial 16S ribosomal RNA
Rfam family: Bacterial small subunit ribosomal RNA
Source: RNAcentral
GACAGAGGAUGCAAGCGUUAUCCGGAUUCACUGGGUUUAAAGGGUGCGUAGGUGGGCAGGUAAGUCAGUGGUGAAAUCUCCGGGCUUAACCCGGAAACUGCCGUUGAUACUAUUUGUCUUGAAUAUUGUGGAGGUAAGCGGAAUAUGUCAUGUAGCGGUGAAAUGCUUAGAUAUGACAUAGAACACCAAUUGCGAAGGCAGCUUACUACACAACGAUUGACGCUGAGGCACGAAAGCGUGGGGAUCAAACAGG